UAGGGAAUCUUCGGCAAUGGGGGGAACCCUGACCGAGCAACGCCGCGUGAGUGAAGAAGGUUUUCGGAUCGUAAAGCUCUGUUGUUAAGGAAGAACGAGUGUGAGAAUGGAAAGUUCAUACUGUGACGGUACUUAACCAGAAAGGGACGGCUAACUACGUGCCAGCAGCCGCGGUAAUACGUAGGUCCCGAGCGUUGUCCGGAUUUAUUGGGCGUAAAGCGAGCGCAGGCGGUUAGAUAAGUCUGAAGUUAAAGGCAGUGGCUCAACCAUUGUAGGCUUUGGAAACUGUUUAACUUGAGUGCAGAAGGGGAGAGUGGAAUUCCAUGUGUAGCUGUGAAAUGCGUAGAUAUAUGGAGGAACACCGGUGGCAAAGGCGGCUCUGUGGUCUGUAACUGACGCUAAGGCUCGAAAGCGUGGGGAGCGAACAGG
Molecule: ribosomal RNA, 429 nt
Filed under: Bacteroidota bacterium
Lineage: Bacteria; Pseudomonadati; Bacteroidota
Description: Bacteroidetes bacterium partial 16S ribosomal RNA
Rfam family: Bacterial small subunit ribosomal RNA
Source: RNAcentral